Molecule: ribosomal RNA, 698 nt
Filed under: uncultured marine archaeon
Lineage: Archaea
Description: bacterial SSU rRNA
Rfam family: Archaeal small subunit ribosomal RNA
Source: RNAcentral
GGGUAACCUGCCCUAUGCUGGAUAAUAACCUCGGGAAACUGAGUAUAAUGAUCCAUAAUUCACUACGCCUGGAACGGUGAGUGGAUGAAAGCUCCGGCGGCAUAGGAUGGGCCUGCGGCGUAUCAGGUUGUAGGGGGUGUAACGUACCCUCUAGCCCUCUACGCGUACGGGUGUUGGGAGACAUAGCCCGGAGAUGGAUUCUGAGACACGAAUCCAGACCCUACGGGGUGCAGCAGGCGCGAAAACUUGGCAAUGCGAGAAAUCGUGACCAGGGAACUCCAAGUGCAUCGGGUAAGACCGGUGCUUUUCUUGACUCUAAAUAGGUCUUGGAAUAAGGGGUGGGUAAGGACGGUGCCAGCCGCCGCGGUAAUACCGGCGCCUCAAGUGGUAGUCGCUUUUAUUGGGCCUAAAACGUCCGUAGCCGGUCUGAUACAUUCGUGGGUAAAUCAACCAGCUCAACUGGUUGAAUUCUGCGAGGACGGUCAGACUUGGGACCGGGAGAGGUGUGGGGUACGCUCAGGGUAGGGGUAAAAUCCUGUCAUCCUGAGCGGACCACCUGUUGCGAAGGCGCCACACUAGAACGGAUCCGACGGUCAGGGACGAAGCCUAGGGGCACGAACCGGAUUAGAUACCCGGGUAGUCCUAGGUGUAAACGCUGUGGACUUGAUGUUGGGGGUGCUCCGAGCACUCUCAGUGUC